This 1056-nucleotide long non-coding RNA is filed under the name Coturnix japonica (Japanese quail). Its description in RNAcentral is "lncRNA (ENSCJPG00005011296.1)". Lineage: Eukaryota; Metazoa; Chordata; Aves; Galliformes; Phasianidae. The record is from RNAcentral.
CAACAGACGUGAUUGGAAUAAAUGGAUCAGUCACUUUAUGACAACCAGAAAGUGCAGCUACAACUGGUCUAACAUGUUCAACUGACUGAGCAGGUGAUCUUAUGAGGACCUGGGCAGGACAAAGCUUCUUACUUCUGGUAGAAAAUCCUAACACUGGAUCAAUUUUAGAUAGCUUUAAUAACAACAAAUUGAUCACAUCUGCAUUAUCUUCCACAAAGCAGAAGUUAAAAUAAAAAGAGUAAUUAAUCUCCCAGUAUUUACCGUGUAGUUAUCACUAAAGUACUAGCAUGACAUUCUACAGAAAAUAUUUAUAUUUUUUUAGUUAUUAACUUUUCCUCACUGUAGAGCGUUUGUCAAACCCUGUCUGGCUUGAGCCACAAGACCCAGGGUAUCAUUUUUCAAGAGUGCUGUGCUCUACAGGCUGCCAGCUUAUUUGGAAACAGAUCAAGAAUCUCUUAACACAGACAAACACCUCAGCCUAGAAGUGCUUUGUCACCUUUGCAAACAGGACUUCAACUCACUUGGCUGGUACCACCAGAGCCUCUAGUGGAUACUUUUUUGUAUUGCAAAACUUCAGCACAGACAUCAUAUUCUGCAAUUGACAGAUGUUAUCCUACUGGAGAAAUAGUGAAAUUCCACAGCUGCCAACGAAGCACAGCAAAGAGCAGUUCCUUGAAGCAAGCCUUGCUUCGCCACAGCCAUUUCCCUCUGUCUGAUGAGGAGUCGGCACCCCAAUGCAGCAAGCAUUUCCAAAGGACCUCGGAAAUCUCAUGCAACAAAUUCCUUUUGGCACAGCUCUCAAUAGUGAAGCAAGCUGUCAAGACAUCUUCCCAGAGGAUCACAGAGCUCCCGCCCAGGAAUUAGCAGAGAAAUUUCAGCACUUGCAUUAGUGCAAUGCCCCCGGCUGCUCUGCAGGCUGAACCAGGGCUGAGACUGCUUAACACUUUCAGUGCAGUGCAAGAGUGUCACUGUUUUCAUACAGAAGAACUACUAAAAAUACAUCAGAUGUAAGAAAAUGCUUCUUGUUGGAAGCACAAUCUAGUGCGUCCUUCCCAG